GACGAACGCUGGCGGCGUGCUUAACACAUGCCAGUCGUACGGUAAGGCCCUUUCGGGGCUACACGAGCGGCGAACGGGGGAGUAACACUUGCGUAACCUGCCCACAACUUUGGGAUAACGCUAGGAAACUGGUGCCAAUACUGGUAAUGUGCCCUUGCUGCAUGGUGGGGGUUGGAAAGUUCCGGCGGUUGUGGAUGGACUGGCGGCCUAUCAGCUUGCUGGUGGGGUUGUGGGCUACCAAGGCGGCGACGGGUAGCCGGACUGAGGGGGUGACCGGCCACCUUGGGACUGAGGUACGGCACAGACUCCUACGGGAGGCAGCAGUGGGGAAUAUUGCACAAUGGGCGCAAGCCUGAUGCAGCAACGCCGCGUGCGGGAUGACGGCCUUCGGGUUGUAAACCGCUUUCAGCAGGGACGAAGCUUUUUGUGACGGUACCUGCAGAAGAAGCACCGGCUAACUACGUG
RNAcentral lists this ribosomal RNA (465 nucleotides) under uncultured bacterium. RNAcentral describes it as "partial 16S ribosomal RNA". It matches the Rfam family "Bacterial small subunit ribosomal RNA", at positions 28 to 507 of the family's 1533-position model. The record is from RNAcentral.